GACGAACGCUGGCGGCGUGCUUAACACAUGCAAGUCGAACGGAAAGGCCCUGCUUUUGUGGGGUGCUCGAGUGGCGAACGGGUGAGUAACACGUGAGUAACCUGCCCUUGACUUUGGGAUAACUUCAGGAAACUGGGGCUAAUACCGGAUAGGAGCUCCUGCUGCAUGGUGGGGGUUGGAAAGUUUCGGCGGUUGGGGAUGGACUCGCGGCUUAUCAGCUUGUUGGUGGGGUAGUGGCUUACCAAGGCUUUGACGGGUAGCCGGCCUGAGAGGGUGACCGGCCACAUUGGGACUGAGAUACGGCACAGACUCCUACGGGAGGCAACAGUGGGGAAUAUUGCACAAUGGGAGGAAGCCUGAUGCAGCAACGCCGCGUGCGGGAUGACGGCCUUCGGGUUGUAAACCGCUUUCGCCUGUGACGAAGCGUGAGUGACGGUAAUGGGUAAAGAAGCACCGGCUAACUACGUG
Molecule: ribosomal RNA, 468 nt
Filed under: uncultured bacterium
Lineage: Bacteria
Description: partial 16S ribosomal RNA
Rfam family: Bacterial small subunit ribosomal RNA
Source: RNAcentral